Molecule: ribosomal RNA, 468 nt
Filed under: uncultured bacterium
Lineage: Bacteria
Description: partial 16S ribosomal RNA
Rfam family: Bacterial small subunit ribosomal RNA
Source: RNAcentral
GACGAACGCUGGCGGCGUGCUUAACACAUGCAAGUCGAACGGAAAGGCCCUGCUUUUGUGGGGUGCUCGAGUGGCGAACGGGUGAGUAACACGUGAGUAACCUGCCCUUGACUUUGGGAUAACUUCAGGAAACUGGGGCUAAUACCGGAUAGGAGCUCCUGCUGCAUGGUGGGGGUUGGAAAGUUUCGGCGGUUGGGGAUGGACUCGGGGCUUAUCAGCUUGUUGGUGGGGUAGUGGCUUACCAAGGCUUUGACGGGUAGCCGGCCUGAGAGGGUGACCGGCCACAUUGAAACUGGGAUACGGCCCAGACUCCUACGGGAGGCAGCAGUGGGGAAUAUUGCACAAUGGGCGGAAGCCUGAUGCAGCAACGCCGCGUGCGGGAUGACGGCCUUCGGGUUGUAAACCGCUUUCGCCUGUGACGAAGCGUGAGUGACGGUAAUGGGUAAAGAAGCACCGGCUAACUACGUG